This 534-nucleotide ribosomal RNA is filed under the name Acinetobacter baumannii. RNAcentral's name for it is "bacterial SSU rRNA". It matches the Rfam family "Bacterial small subunit ribosomal RNA", at positions 254 to 779 of the family's 1533-position model. The record is from RNAcentral. Lineage: Bacteria; Pseudomonadati; Pseudomonadota; Gammaproteobacteria; Moraxellales; Moraxellaceae.
GGGGUAAAGGCCUACCAAGGCGACGAUCUGUAGCGGGUCUGAGAGGAUGAUCCGCCACACUGGGACUGAGACACGGCCCAGACUCCUACGGGAGGCAGCAGUGGGGAAUAUUGGACAAUGGGGGGAACCCUGAUCCAGCCAUGCCGCGUGUGUGAAGAAGGCCUUAUGGUUGUAAAGCACUUUAAGCGAGGAGGAGGCUACUUUAGUUAAUACCUAGAGAUAGUGGACGUUACUCGCAGAAUAAGCACCGGCUAACUCUGUGCCAGCAGCCGCGGUAAUACAGAGGGUGCGAGCGUUAAUCGGAUUUACUGGGCGUAAAGCGUGCGUAGGCGGCUUAUUAAGUCGGAUGUGAAAUCCCCGAGCUUAACUUGGGAAUUGCAUUCGAUACUGGUGAGCUAGAGUAUGGGAGAGGAUGGUAGAAUUCCAGGUGUAGCGGUGAAAUGCGUAGAGAUCUGGAGGAAUACCGAUGGCGAAGGCAGCCAUCUGGCCUAAUACUGACGCUGAGGUACGAAAGCAUGGGGAGCAAACAGGAUU